AAUUUUCGUUAUUAGUUAAAUAAAAUCCCUUGCGGUUUGCCAGUUCAUCUUUGCCGAUAAAUCCGGGAUCGUUCUGCCACCGACCAACGCCGGAUUCGAUGGCCACCGGCGUCAUCUCCCAGCAGUCAUUGUUCCUGGCCCUCUCCUCUUCCUCCUCUUGUCCAUCGUCGUCGUCGUCGUCGUCGUCGUCUUCGUCGAAGCCCCCGACCAGGGCGGCUAUCCCAUCGCUGCCUUUGUGCUCCUCCCGCCGCCUCUCCAUCUCUUCCCCCAAGGGAUCCAACCGAAGGAGCCGGGAUUCGUACGUCGUCGCCGCCUCGGCCUUGGCCGAGGACCUCGACGUCAUCCCCGUGCAGAGCAGCGACUCCACCGACCAGCAGGACGGCGUCAUCCCCUCCGCCGGGAGGGAGCAGCAGGAGGAGCAGCCCCUCGAGGGGCCUGGCAGCCAAGUCGGCGCCUUCGCUCUCGAGAGCGGGGGCGGAAUCCUCGGUGGCGGUGGAAGCGGCGGAGUUGGUUUAUAUUCCGCGUUACAGGACGAGGAGGACGUUGAGAAGUCGGUGGACCGGGCUAUCAACGCUGCAAUUGUUCUUGCCGCCGGGACUUUCGCCAUCACCAAGCUUCUUACCAUCGACAGCGACUAUUGGCAUGGUUGGACGUUGUAUGAGAUACUUAGGUAUGUACCCCAACAUAAUUGGGCUGCCUAUGAGCAAUCUUUAAAAACAAAUCCAGUUCUUGCAAAAAUGAUGAUAAGUGGUGUUGUUUAUUCUCUAGGCGAUUGGAUUGCCCAGUGCUAUGAAGGAAAACCACUCUUUGAAUUCGAUCGUGCUCGCAUGUUCAGAUCAGGGCUCGUAGGAUUUUCUCUUCACGGGUCACUUUCUCAUUAUUACUACCACUUCUGCGAGGCACUUUUUCCUUUCCAAGACUGGUGGGUUGUGCCUGCUAAGGUGGUGUUCGACCAGACUGCAUGGUCUGCCAUAUGGAACAGUAUCUACUAUGUAGCGUUGGGCUUCUUGCGUUUUGAAUCUCCGGCAAAUAUUUUUAGUGAAUUGAAGGCUACAUUUUGGCCCAUGUUAACUGCAGGGUGGAAGCUUUGGCCUUUUGCACACUUGAUUACUUAUGGUGUUGUUACAGUUGAACAAAGACUUCUUUGGGUGGAUUGUGUGGAGUUAAUAUGGGUGACGAUCCUCUCGACGUAUUCAAAUGAGAAGUCUGAAGCAAGAAAUUCCGAAGUGACUUCGGAGUUGAAUACUAAACCAGCAUCCCAUCUCCCCGAGGAACUGAUAAAUAGCCAAGAAAGGUAGCUGUUCUUGUUGGAACGGAAUGCUGAUUAUGUCGAUUGCAUGUAUAGUGUGACAGAUGGAUACGAAGCCAGGGGACUGCCUGUAGUCCCUUUCUAGCUGAUUUCAAAAUGAGAAGCAGGUCUUGAUUAAUGAAGAAUGUCUAGCAAGCUGAUCUGUUUAAGGUCCCAUGGAAAGUGAUUAAUGUCUGGUGACAGAGUAUCUAACUAAUAAAAUAGAACAAUUCAGACAGGAUUUUACAACAAGUCUUCUUUAGUCAGAAGGUGGCCGGACAAUCUUUAUUUAGAGUGAGUGAAAUUGAGCAAUUGUCCCCCGCACCACUUGUGACUAGACAUGGGUGAAAUUGUUUAAUAAGGCUUCCCAUGAUAGAUUGUCGUCCAAUUCGCCAUCUUCUCUUGUAAGGUGAGUGAUCCAAACUCUUUGGUCCAAGGAUAGCAAAGAUAAUAGGUGUUUGAUGAGAUGCUUAUAGGUGUUUUGCUUGAAGCCAUGCCCUGCCCUGUUCAGUAGCUUGCUAGCAAGAAGACAAUUCGUUUCAACCAAGGUCAACCUUGAUCCAAUUUCCCGAAUAUGCUGUAUUCCAAGCUCAAUUGCCUGCAAUUUAGCACUGAAAAUAAAUGUUGGCUUCCUCUACGAACAUAUCAUCCACGCCAAAGAUCACCUCCUAGCCCAGCAUGUUAGACCCCUCUAUUCAAGGUUGCAUUCGUUUGCAAACUAGCAAAGAAGAUCUCUGAUGCAAUGUGGAAACCUUCUUUUGGUCUUUAACCACAAGGUGCAUUCCUUGAGCGAUAAGGUUAAACCCCUCACACAAUAAUGUAUACUUUUUCAAAACCAAAUUACUCUCCCAUUUUUAUUGUUUCUACGACU
Zingiber officinale is the source of this 2159-nucleotide RNA transcript. RefSeq lists it as uncharacterized. The record is from RefSeq and is a predicted model, not a curated record. Lineage: Eukaryota; Viridiplantae; Streptophyta; Magnoliopsida; Zingiberales; Zingiberaceae. The transcript has 8 exons.